RNAcentral lists this non-coding RNA (183 nucleotides) under Gammaproteobacteria bacterium. RNAcentral's name for it is "6S RNA". It matches the Rfam family "6S / SsrS RNA". Rfam says of the family: E. coli 6S RNA was the first non coding RNA to be sequenced, but its function was unknown until recently. It consists of 184 nucleotides that fold into an extended hairpin structure with a large single-stranded internal bulge. Lineage: Bacteria; Pseudomonadati; Pseudomonadota; Gammaproteobacteria. The record is from RNAcentral.
UAUUCCCUGUCAUAUUCGAUAACGACCGGGAUAUUUCUUGAGCCGUAAUUCACAUCCCCGGGGACCACAUCGCGGUGUUGUGAGCAGGUCCACCUUGUAGUGGAAAGCCUAAUGCAUCGCUCGCGGUGCCCACUUGAACCCCAGGUUCAAGACGAAGGUCCAGUCGGUAUAGAUGGGGAAUAC